GGAGCAGUUUCUACAACUGGUACCCUGCAGACCUCAGUUGCUACAUACACAUGUAGUGCAGGCUUCAAACUAACUGGAGUUAGCAGUAGAACGUGUGUGCUUGGAUCAGGGUGGUCAGGCGUAGCCCCGACAUGUGUGGCAGGCAUGGUAGGAGAUUCCUGUGCAACAGUUACCAACUUAUGUGUGAACCUGAUCAACGCACCAUGUACAGGAGGCACCUGCACCUGUCUCCUUGGAUACACACAGAGCACUGACACUGAAUGCGUGGAAAUAAACGAAUGUGUCUCUUCUCCCUGCAUGAACGGAGGCUCGUGUACCAACGACAUAGCAAAGUUCACGUGCAGGUGUCCUACUGGAUUUAAUGGAACAAGAUGCGAAAUAA
Molecule: long non-coding RNA, 382 nt
Organism: Dreissena polymorpha
Lineage: Eukaryota; Metazoa; Mollusca; Bivalvia; Myida; Dreissenidae
Exons: 3
Source: RefSeq, a predicted model, not a curated record